GAUGAACGCUGGCGGCGUGCCUAACACAUGCAAGUCGAACGAACAGACGAUGAUCUUGCUCCUUUGACGUUAGCGGCGGACGGGUGUGUAACACGUGUAUCAUCUACUUAUAAUACGGGUAUAACUUCGGGACUGCGGCUCUUAUACCAGAGGAUAUAUUGAACCACAUGGUUCAAUAGUGAGAGACGGCUUUGCUGUCACUUAUAGCUGGAUCCGCGCCGGAUUAGCUAGUUGUUAAGGUAACGGCCUACCAAGGCUACGAUGCGUAGCCGACGUGAGAGGCUGAUAGCCGACACGAGAACGGAGCCACGGACAAGACGCCUACGGGAGGCAGCAGUCGGGAAUCUUCGGCAAUGGGCGAAAGUCUGACGGAGCAACGGCGAGUGAGUGAUGACGGUCUUCGGAUCGUAAAGCUCUGUUAUUAGGGAAGAACAGAUGUGGCAGUAGAUAUGGACGUAUUGACGGUAACUAAUAAAAAAGCAACGGCUAACUACGUG
This 497-nucleotide ribosomal RNA is filed under the name uncultured bacterium. RNAcentral describes it as "partial 16S ribosomal RNA". It matches the Rfam family "Bacterial small subunit ribosomal RNA", at positions 28 to 507 of the family's 1533-position model. The record is from RNAcentral.